RNAcentral lists this ribosomal RNA (277 nucleotides) under uncultured bacterium. RNAcentral's name for it is "partial 16S ribosomal RNA". It matches the Rfam family "Bacterial small subunit ribosomal RNA", at positions 28 to 309 of the family's 1533-position model. The record is from RNAcentral.
GACGAACGCUGGCGGCGUGCUUAACACAUGCAAGUCGAGCGGUGAACCACUUCGGUGGGGAUCAGCGGCGAACGGGUGAGUAACACGUGGGCAACCUGCCCCUAGCACUGGGAUAACCCCGGGAAACCGGGGCUAAUACCGGAUACGACCUUGAGUGGCAUCACUCUGGGUGGAAAGAUUUAUCAGCUAGGGAUGGGCCCGCGGCCUAUCAGCUUGUUGGUGGGGUAAUGGCCUACCAAGGCGACGACGGGUAGCCGGCCUGAGAGGGCGACCGGCC